GUGGUGGCUCGCGAAGAUGAAUGGCUAUUGCUGCAUGUUUACCUCUCUCUUGGGGGGACAUGGGGACAGCAGUGACAUAUCGACCAGAAGAACAAGGAGAAGGAGAAAGGAUGU
This is a non-coding RNA of Caenorhabditis elegans, 114 nucleotides long. Lineage: Eukaryota; Metazoa; Nematoda; Chromadorea; Rhabditida; Rhabditidae. The record is from Ensembl.